GUGAACGCUGGCGGUAGGCCUAACACAUGCAAGUCGAACGGCAGCACAGUAAGAGCUUGCCCUUACGGGUGGCGAGUGGCGGACGGGUGAGGAAUACAUCGGAAUCUACUUUUUCGUGGGGGAUAACGUAGGGAAACUUACGCUAAUACCGCAUACGACCUACGGGUGAAAGCAGGGGAUCUUCGGACCUUGCGCGAUUGAAUGAGCCGAUGUCGGAUUAGCUAGUUGGCGGGGUAAAGGCCCACCAAGGCGACGAUCCGUAGCUGGUCUGAGAGGAUGAUCAGCCACACUGGAACUGAGACACGGUCCAGACUCCUACGGGAGGCAGCAGUGGGGAAUAUUGGACAAUGGGCGCAAGCCUGAUCCAGCCAUACCGCGUGGGUGAAGAAGGCCUUCGGGUUGUAAAGCCCUUUUGUUGGGAAAGAAAGGCAGCAGGUUAAUACCCCGCUGUUCUGACGGUACCCAAAGAAUAAGCACCGGCUAACUUCGUG
RNAcentral lists this ribosomal RNA (491 nucleotides) under uncultured bacterium. RNAcentral describes it as "partial 16S ribosomal RNA". It matches the Rfam family "Bacterial small subunit ribosomal RNA", at positions 29 to 507 of the family's 1533-position model. The record is from RNAcentral.